Molecule: ribosomal RNA, 1025 nt
Filed under: uncultured cyanobacterium
Lineage: Bacteria; Bacillati; Cyanobacteriota
Description: bacterial SSU rRNA
Rfam family: Bacterial small subunit ribosomal RNA
Source: RNAcentral
GCAAGCCUGACGGAGCAACGCCGCGUGAGGGAUGGAGGCCUUUGGGCUGUAAACCUCUUUUCUCAAGGAAGAAGAUCUGACGGUACUUGAGGAAUAAGCCACGGCUAAUUCCGUGCCAGCAGCCGCGGUAAUACGGGAGUGGCAAGCGUUAUCCGGAAUUAUUGGGCGUAAAGCGUCCGCAGGCGGCCGUUUAAGUCUGUUGUUAAAUCGUGGAGCUCAACUCCAUCACGGCAAUGGAAACUGCUCGGCUUGAGUAUGGUAGGGGCAGAGGGAAUUUCCGGUGUAGCGGUGAAAUGCGUAGAUAUCGGGAAGAACACCAGUGGCAAAAGCGCUCUGCUGGGCCAUUACUGACGCUCAUGGACGAAAGCCAGGGGAGCGAAAGGGAUUAGAUACCCCUGUAGUCCUGGCCGUAAACGAUGAACACUAGAUGUUGGGGGAAUCGACCCCUUCGGUGUCGUAGCUAACGCGUUAAGUGUUCCGCCUGGGGAGUACGCACGCAAGUGUGAAACUCAAAGGAAUUGACGGGGGCCCGCACAAGCGGUGGAGUAUGUGGUUUAAUUCGAUGCAACGCGAAGAACCUUACCAAGGCUUGACAUCCUGCGAAUCUCUAAGAAAUUAGAGAGUGCCCUUUGGGAACGCAGUGACAGGUGGUGCAUGGCUGUCGUCAGCUCGUGUCGUGAGAUGUUGGGUUAAGUCCCGCAACGAGCGCAACCCACGUUUUUAGUUGCCAGCAUUCAGUUGGGCACUCUAGAAAGACUGCCGGUGACAAACCGGAGGAAGGUGUGGACGACGUCAAGUCAUCAUGCCCCUUACGCCUUGGGCUACACACGUACUACAAUGCUGCGGACAAAGAGUAGCGAUCUUGCAAAAGUUAGCUAAUANAAGUAAACCGUGGCACAGUUCAGAUCGUAGGCUGCAACUCGCCUACGUGAAGGAGGAAUCGCUAGUAAUCGCAGGUCAGCAUACUGCGGUGAAUACGUUCCCGGGCCUUGUACACACCGCCCGUCACACCAUGGAAGUUGGCC